CAGAGUAAGGACAGUGCGUUAAGUGCCGGCGGAUGGGAUGUUGCCGCCGGACGAAAAGCCUUGGGUGCUCUUGAGAGGCAUUUUAACUCUCCGAAAUGAGAAUGACAGGCUUGCGUUGCUGCUCCUGCGUCCGCUGC
This 137-nucleotide non-coding RNA is filed under the name pig gut metagenome. Its description in RNAcentral is "THF riboswitch". It matches the Rfam family "THF (Tetrahydrofolate) riboswitch aptamer". From Rfam's summary of the family: THF riboswitch presents a pseudoknot that joins P1-P2 and the loop of P3 and two THF binding. The record is from RNAcentral.